CCUACGGGUGGCUGCAGUGGGGAAUAUUUGGCGAUGGAGGCAACUCUGACCCAGCAACGCCGCGUGAAUGAUGAAGGUCUUCGGAUUGUAAAGUUCUUUUCUAAGGGAAGAAGAAAGUGACGGUACCUUAGGAAUAAGCCUCGGCUAACUACGUUCCAGCAGCCGCGGUAAUACGUAGGAGGCAAGCGUUAUCCGGAAUGACUGGGCGUAAAGGGUGCGUAGGUGGUUCAGCAAGUUAGUAGCGUAACUCCGGGGCUCAACCUCGGCACUACUACUAAAACUGUUGGACGUGAGUGCAGGAGGGGCAACUGGAAUUCCUAGUGUAGCGGUGGAAUGCGUAGAUAUUAGGAGGAACACCAGUGGCGAAGGAGAGUUGCUGGACUGUAACUGACACUGAGGCACGAAAGCGUGGGGAGCAAACAGGAUUAGAUACCCCAGUAGUC
This 443-nucleotide ribosomal RNA is filed under the name uncultured bacterium. RNAcentral describes it as "partial 16S ribosomal RNA". It matches the Rfam family "Bacterial small subunit ribosomal RNA", at positions 338 to 795 of the family's 1533-position model. The record is from RNAcentral.